CAGACACGGCUGAUAUUCCGCCUGAGCACACAUCAUGCUAGGAUCAGGUGACAUUAGGGAAAUCUCAUUGGUUCCUGAAAUUGAGGGCUAUGACGCUUUGUGGCAGUGCUGCGAACUGAAGGCGGCGAUACUAAGAAGACAUCUGGUCUCUGGAGGGUCUUAAACUUAGGUGAAUCCAACCUCAGAUGAAGAACAUCACAACAGGUUUCACAGGUUCAUUAG
This is a long non-coding RNA of Bufo bufo (common toad), 222 nucleotides long. RefSeq lists it as uncharacterized. The transcript is spliced from 2 exons. NCBI's taxonomy places the organism in Eukaryota, Metazoa, Chordata, Amphibia, Anura, Bufonidae. The record is from RefSeq and is a predicted model, not a curated record.